This 735-nucleotide ribosomal RNA is filed under the name uncultured Campylobacter sp. RNAcentral's name for it is "bacterial SSU rRNA". It matches the Rfam family "Bacterial small subunit ribosomal RNA", at positions 28 to 776 of the family's 1533-position model. The record is from RNAcentral. Lineage: Bacteria; Pseudomonadati; Campylobacterota; Epsilonproteobacteria; Campylobacterales; Campylobacteraceae.
AGUGAACGCUGGCGGCGUGCCUUAUACAUGCCAAGUCGAACGGACAAGUAAAGAGCUUGCUCUUAUGAGUUAGUGGCGCACGGGUGAGUAAAUGUAAAGCUAAUCUGCCCUACACUAGAGGACAACAGUUGGAAACGACUGCUAAUACUCUAUACUCCUCUCUAGCAUAAGUUAGAUAGGGAAAGUUUUUCGGUGUAGGAUGAGGGCUAUAUUGUAUCAGCUAGUUGGUGAGGUAAUGGCUCACCAAGGCUAUGACGCAUAACUGGUCUGAGAGGAUGAUCAGUCACACUGGAACUGAGACACGGUCCAGACUCCUACGGGAGGCAGCAGUAGGGAAUAUUGCUCAAUGGGGGAAACCCUGAAGCAGCAACGCCGCGUGGAGGAUGACACUUUUCGGAGCGUAAACUCCUUUUGUUAGGGAAGAACAAUGACGGUACCUAACGAAUAAGCACCGGCUAACUCCGUGCCAGCAGCCGCGGUAAUACGGAGGGUGCAAGCGUUACUCGGAAUCACUGGGCGUAAAGGACGCGUAGGCGGAUUAUCAAGUCUCUUGUGAAAUCCUAUGGCUUAACCAUAGAACUGCUUGGGAAACUGAUAAUCUAGAGUGAGGGAGAGGCAGAUGGAAUUGGUGGUGUAGGGGUAAAAUCCGUAGAGAUCACCAGGAAUACCCAUUGCGAAGGCGAUCUGCUGGAACUCAACUGACGCUAAUGCGUGAAAGCGUGGGGAGCAAACAGG